RNAcentral lists this ribosomal RNA (253 nucleotides) under uncultured bacterium. RNAcentral's name for it is "partial 16S ribosomal RNA". It matches the Rfam family "Bacterial small subunit ribosomal RNA", at positions 524 to 776 of the family's 1533-position model. The record is from RNAcentral.
UACGUAGGGUGCUAGCGUUGUCCGGAUUUAUUGGGCGUAAAGAGCUCGUAGGCGGUGUGUCACGUCGGCCGUGAAAACCCGGAGCUCAACUCCGGGCCUGCAGUCGAUACGGGCAGACUGGAGUUCGGCAGGGGAGACUGGAAUUCCUGGUGUAGCGGUGAAAUGCGCAGAUAUCAGGAGGAACACCGGUGGCGAAGGCGGGUCUCUGGGCCGAUACUGACGCUGAGGAGCGAAAGCGUGGGGAGCGAACAGG